This is a long non-coding RNA of Corapipo altera (White-ruffed manakin), 302 nucleotides long. RefSeq lists it as uncharacterized. The transcript has 3 exons. The record is from RefSeq and is a predicted model, not a curated record. Lineage: Eukaryota; Metazoa; Chordata; Aves; Passeriformes; Pipridae.
GAUUUAGACAGGCCAUUGAAGGAAUUUCAGUAUUCAAGAUGUGAAGUGAUUAAGACGUGAACAAGGAUUUCAGCAGAAGCAAGGUCAAGGUGAAGAUGAACUCAAGCAGAAUUUCAGAGCAGUUCAAGAAUACUUCCUGGUGUCAAAGAAGUCACCACAGCUCUCACUCCCAAUGUCUGAUACCAGGCAGAAAGAAGACUUCCAUGGAAAUAAUGUAGAGUUCCCAGCAUCUAACUGUACCUCACCUACAUGAAGUUCCACAAGUGAGUUGUUAUGCAUUUGCCAGGUAAAGUAUUCCACUC